AUGAAGUUACUCUCAAACUACAAUUCUAUGCAAGCACUGAUCUUUAAAUUGAAGGUGAUUAUUCUUUUUAAGAAGGGAGAACGAUUCACUUUGGUGUACAUGAUCCUAUGGUCUUUUUUAUUGAUUGCUAUGGCUGUUCCUAUUUCUCUACUAUUAAUUAAAGAAGAAUCGAAUGUCGUGAUGGUUCAACUGGUUGGACCCUCCCCUCCUCUGGCCAUCGAUACAUCUUCCCACGCACUUCCCUCAUCGAUUUUUUUAUCCCUCCGAAAACCAGGGGCAAGUAACCCGGUUCAAUCAACCCCUCCCCACCUCGUACGGUUCCGCACGACUGAAAAAUUCCACGCACGAACAAAAUCGCCUGAAAAAGCCCACGUUCAUAACCAUCGCCUGAAAACGAUCCCACAUCCUCCACCCCUCUCCCAAACCCAAACUACCCCGGCGUCCUCCUCCCCCACCGCAGUGAAGGGUUCGUCGCCCCGUCCGCCCCUCCUCCAGAUGCAGUAG
RNAcentral lists this ribosomal RNA (504 nucleotides) under Triticum aestivum (bread wheat). RNAcentral describes it as "partial small subunit ribosomal RNA". Lineage: Eukaryota; Viridiplantae; Streptophyta; Magnoliopsida; Poales; Poaceae. The record is from RNAcentral.